CAUAUGGCAACUCUAUUUCUAGUUUUUUGAGGAACCUCUAUACUGUUUUCCGUAGUGGCUGCAUCAACUUACAUUCCCAUCGACAGUGUAGGAGGAUUCCCUUUUCUCCACACCCUUUCUAGUUUUGGUUGUUUGUAGGAUUUUUAAUGGUGGCCGUGCUGACCUGUAUGAAGGUGAUACCUCAUUGUAGUUUUGAUUUGCAUUUCUUUAAUAAUUAGUGAUGUUGAGAAUCUUUUCAUGUGCCUGUAGGCCAUCUGUAUGAGAUUUUUCCUUCUUGAUGCAGAUAUGUAAUGGGAAGAAUAAAUUAAAAUUAGUUUUCAAUAGGUGUUCUUAUGACGAAGCUGGUUUCUCUCCAUGCACCCCGGCUGCAACCAAUGUUAGGCCAUGUGGCUUAGUGCCCCCAGGAACAAUGACACAGGGGAAGUCCUAUCUCAUAAAAAGAAACACUGUAGAGGAAGAGAGUGAGGACCUAAGAGGAAGGCAAAGAUGCCUGUGUUUUUUCACUUCUGCCUCCUGUUGGGAUUUAUUCAUGGAAAACCAGUGACUACAGUGUCAACAAAGUAGGCCUUGAGCUUAGUUACUUUCCAGGCAAAGGAAGUAGUGCGUGCAGCAGCGGACACAUUUUCUGAGGGGAAGAUCAGAGGGUUUUAUGCAGUGGAAAGGGAGGAGGCCGUGGCACUUAUGCUAAUUCAUGUUUGGAAGCUUGUACUCCAGCAAAGUCAGAAUGCAUCCAUUCAUUGGUGUGUGGUUGGUUAAAACAAGUCCUGCUGUUCAUUGGUAAGGAAGGAACCCUCAGUUGAGUGCAGUAAGGGUCUGAUGAACUGGGGUCACUCAGAGGUCUUAGUAGUUUAUCAGCUGUUAUUAGUGGUGGUGAUGGUGGUGAGGUUGCUAAAGGUCAUGAUUGUUUUAGAGCUCUAGCAGUUAAAACCAGUUGUGAAACAAAGCAAAGGCAACUGUAAGAACAAGAUAUUUUUUCCCUCCUAUAUAGAUAAAAGCUUGGGGAUAUAGAACAGGCUGUGCUAGAAAUAUGCUGCCAGGAACAGGGAGCCUGAGAACACUGGGGCUUGUGGCCUGUUUCCUCACCUAUAGCUCCUGGGAGGCUGCAGGCCUCUGCAGGCCAAGGAGAAGCUGGCUUUCGCUUGGGAGCUGUAGCAUCCUGGCCUUGGGGAUGACCAUGGUCUGAGGCAGAGCCUCCGGGUCCCUGCAACCUGGUGCCCAUGGGACUCUUGGAGGCAAUGAUUGUGCAGCAAAGGUCACAAGGGACCCGUUGUGCCCCAGCAGAUGCCAAGUCAGGACUGGAUCAGACCAGCCACCUGCAGGGAGAAGGGCUGGCUGUGUCAGCCGCAGACCUUCUUUUUCAUUUUGGAGAGAAGAAAUAAACAGAUCUUUCUCUCUUUUAAAAAAAGACUUACCCAAAGACACUCUUUAAAAGGGAAGAGACUGAGAUAUUAUUAAUUGGCAAGUUUGUUUUUGCCCCACACUCCUCAAUGGGGUGUGAACUUGGAGGAAGAAUAGUUGUAGGAAAUAAAGGCGCUACAUUUUCCUUAAAAAACAGAGUGGUAAUGUGCAAAUUUGCAAUCCUGCUAUAUACAUAUAAUUUAAUAUUUAUAUGGAAACAUUUAAACCUAAUGUUCAGUAAUUUGGAAGAGAAUAAACCGUUAAAUUCCAUUUAAGUGUCUUUAUCACAUAUCACCAUUCCUGCCUUCUGUCUAAUCCACUUAUGUGGCUAUAAAACUGCAAACAAGCCUUGCUUCCUCAGUCACCUAUACAGCCUCCUCUUUCGCCCUAACUUAAGCUUCAGGUUGUUCAGGAUCAAAGCCUCUGCUAGCUUUUUUUUUUCACCCUAGAAAUCACCUUUCUCUUUGGUUUCUUCCUCUGAGCUACCAAGAAUAGCAGAAGACUGCCUCCACCUCUUUACUAAAAUCAGAAUAUUUUCUUCCCAAGAGAAAAUAUGUAAAACACUCCUGAGCUUGGAAAGAAUAAUAGGUGUGUAGUUUGGGUCUCUCCACUCACAGGGGUUUUUUUGUCACUUUCUCCACCAAGAGAGUGAAAUGGAAGUGGCCUUUUCCCCUCUUGUUUUUGCCAUCUUAAGCUGGAAAUUGCAUAUGGUGUGGUCUGAAUAUAACAGGAUGUUAGGUACUUUGCUGAGUUUGCCUCAAACACGACCCCCAACAGUGCCUUCUCUCAUGAGGUACUUAAUCCAGGUACCAUUCAUUCAGAUCCUUCAGAAGUGAUUUCUUAAUGAGAUUUAAAGUUAUUUUGAAUGAGGAUUUAGAGCAUGUUCAACAAUUUUCAUUGCAGUCCCACUUAGUAGAGGAGUCUGCUUCCCAUACUCUUUCUUUUCAUGUAUAUCUCUAGGUAAUGGUACUUCACAGGAACUAGGUCAAUAGCAGCGUAACUCAAACUUGACUGACCCAUGCAAACUGCUUGUUAUUUUAAUGUGAGAUGCUUUUCUGGUCUUUAUCCAACUUAGAGCCGAUUCAGUGUCCCAUUUUUAAAGAAUCUCUAGAGAGGAGGAUUCCAUGGCUUCUCUUGAGGUUUCAGUGUAGAGUUUCACACUCUCAAACAUUAAGAAGGUAUUCCUAGUACUUUAUACCCAAAUUGCUCAUGUGGCUCUUUAAGACUCUCAGCUGGUCCUCAGCGGAGAUGGAAAACAGCUGCUCACCACCACCUGUGCUUGGAACUCUUCCACGCUUUGGAAGCCCAUUAAAUCAUGUCUCAGCUUGUGAAAUGAAGGCUCACAAAAAGGGUUUUUUUUGACCAGAGUUGGGGAUUAAAUCCGCUAAAUGUUUGGAAUCUUUUGGUAGCUAUGAUGACCAGACAUUCUGCAUUGCAAUAACAAUAGACAUGUAUUUAUUGAGUACUUAUGUAAUAGGAGUGGAGUGAGCAUGCAGCCGUUGGUCUGUAAUUCUUAUCAGGAGACCUUGAGCGUGGCCAACAGUCAGCCUCCCAGUGGUCCUUGUGGCAGAGAGUGCAGAUUAAGGCCUUCUUCCCGGGGCCCUCUAGGCCCUCCAGCCUCUGGGCCGGUGGAUGAGCUGGGCAGCCUGGGGACAGGCUGAGGGCGGGGUCUUGAAGAGCUCCAGAGUCCUCACCGUGGCUGGGCACAGGCCUGGAAGCAGCAGCGAACGCAAACCCACAGUCCAUGGAGGCCUCAGCAAGUGGAGUGUACGGACACAGCCUUUAAGGAUCCUGAAGCUGAAACAGACCGACUAUUGCAGUGGAACUCUCUUAGGGAAGGGUCCAAGCUGCUUUUCCUUGAAGACAACAACAUACCAGCCCCAACCUCACAGAUGGUGUUAGUCAUCCUGAUAAUGCACCUCAGUUAAUAUCUCAAGUCAGGAUCCAGCUACACUUACUUGCUUUGUGCAACAGUCUUCUUUUUGGAAGUGUUGGCUGCUCACAGUUCUACAUACGUUGGAGAGAUCAGAGAUUCUGUCAACCUGGUUUCCAGCCCUGGCCCUGUGACUGAUGGAUGACAAGUGUACCAGUGAGAACUGAAACUCGCAGCACCUGGAUCCCUGUCGCUAAGAGGGAAGAACAGUACUGACCUACCUCGUGCAGUGAAGUGUCAUAUGCAUUAACUGUCUAAUGAUGCUAAAGCUCUUUGAGCAUGUAAACGUGGAACAUUAUCAUUAUGGUUAAUACUA
Long non-coding RNA from Bubalus bubalis (water buffalo), 3647 nucleotides. RefSeq lists it as uncharacterized. The record is from RefSeq and is a predicted model, not a curated record. The transcript has 4 exons. NCBI's taxonomy places the organism in Eukaryota, Metazoa, Chordata, Mammalia, Artiodactyla, Bovidae.